Molecule: ribosomal RNA, 511 nt
Filed under: uncultured Saccharomyces
Lineage: Eukaryota; Fungi; Ascomycota; Saccharomycetes; Saccharomycetales; Saccharomycetaceae
Description: eukaryotic LSU rRNA
Rfam family: Eukaryotic large subunit ribosomal RNA
Source: RNAcentral
AAACCAACCGGGAUUGCCUUAGUAACGGCGAGUGAAGCGGCAAAAGCUCAAAUUUGAAAUCUGGUACCUUCGGUGCCCGAGUUGUAAUUUGGAGAGGGCAACUUUGGGGCCGUUCCUUGUCUAUGUUCCUUGGAACAGGACGUCAUAGAGGGUGAGAAUCCCGUGUGGCGAGGAGUGCGGUUCUUUGUAAAGUGCCUUCGAAGAGUCGAGUUGUUUGGGAAUGCAGCUCUAAGUGGGUGGUAAAUUCCAUCUAAAGCUAAAUAUUGGCGAGAGACCGAUAGCGAACAAGUACAGUGAUGGAAAGAUGAAAAGAACUUUGAAAAGAGAGUGAAAAAGUACGUGAAAUUGUUGAAAGGGAAGGGCAUUUGAUCAGACAUGGUGUUUUGUGCCCUCUGCUCCUUGUGGGUAGGGAAUCUCGCAUUUCACUGGGCCAGCAUCAGUUUGGUGGCAGGAUAAAUCCAUAGGAAUGUAGCUUGCCUCGGUAAGUAUUAUAGCCUGUGGGAAUACUGCC